CCUACGGGAGGCAGCAGUGGGGAAUAUUGCACAAUGGGGGAAACCCUGAUGCAGCGACGCCGCGUGAGUGAAGAAGUAUUUCGGUAUGUAAAGCUCUGUCAGCAGGGAAGAAAAUGACGGUACCUGACCAAGAAGCCCCGGCUAACUACGUGCCAGCAGCCGCGGUAAUACGUAGGGGGCAAGCGUUAUCCGGAUUUACUGGGUGUAAAGGGAGCGUAGACGGCAGGGCAAGUCUGGAGUGAAAGGCGGGGGCACAACCCCCGGACUGCUCUGGAAACGGGCAGGCUGGAGUGCAGGAGAGGUAAGUGGAAGUCCUAGUGUAGCGGUGAAAUGCGUAGAUAUUAGGAGGAAAACCAGUGGCGAAGGCGGCUUACUGGACUGUAACUGACGUUGAGGCUCGAAAGCGUGGGGAGCAAACAGGAUUAGAUACCCGAGUAGUC
RNAcentral lists this ribosomal RNA (440 nucleotides) under uncultured bacterium. RNAcentral describes it as "partial 16S ribosomal RNA". It matches the Rfam family "Bacterial small subunit ribosomal RNA", at positions 338 to 795 of the family's 1533-position model. The record is from RNAcentral.